This 253-nucleotide ribosomal RNA is filed under the name uncultured bacterium. RNAcentral's name for it is "partial 16S ribosomal RNA". It matches the Rfam family "Bacterial small subunit ribosomal RNA", at positions 524 to 776 of the family's 1533-position model. The record is from RNAcentral.
UACAGGGGGUGCAAACGUUUCUCGGAAUUAUUGGGCGUAAAGCGCACGUAGGCGGUUCGUUAUGUCAGAUGUGAAAGCCCUUGGCUCAACUGAGGAAGUGCAUCUGAAACUGGCGAGCUAGAGUAUGUAAGAGGGUCGCGGAAUUCCCGGUGUAGAGGUGAAAUUCGUAGAUAUCGGGAGGAACACCGGUGGCGAAGGCGGCGACCUGGGACAAUACUGACGCUGAGGUGCGAAAGCGUGGGGAGCAAACAGG